RNAcentral lists this long non-coding RNA (877 nucleotides) under Fukomys damarensis (Damara mole-rat). RNAcentral describes it as "lncRNA (ENSFDAG00000032304.1)". The record is from RNAcentral. Lineage: Eukaryota; Metazoa; Chordata; Mammalia; Rodentia; Bathyergidae.
AUGCCCGAGGCAGGAGCCUUUGUGAAGGGAAGUUUGCUGAGGCUCAGGAUUCUGGAGUUUCAAUGUCCGGGAGCCCCAUCGGCCAACACACUGCUGCUGUGCAGAACAUCGCAUGAGAGGAGGAAAGAAGAGGAAGGGGAGUUUCCUGAUCAGAAGCUUUCCUGGAGAGAAGAGGACAAACCCAAAAACUAUCCUUCAGCUUCUGAAAAGACAAAAACAAGUCUGCAGCUGUCUUGGUUUUCACCAUGUCCACAUGUGCUUGCUGAGAGACAAAACAGAAUACAGCAUUUAAUUUACUUUCCAGAAUUCAUAUAAAUAUGAAAGAAGGUAAGCAAGAUACACAGGAAUCAAAAAUACAUAGCUUGGUGGGAGAGCACGUGCCUAAAAUGUGCAAGGCUCUAAAUUUGACCACUAAUGCUACAAAAAAAGAAAAGAAAAAAUAAUUUUAUAUUGAGUAUGGUGGCACAUGUAGCUAAUGUCAGAACUUUGGAAGGCUGAGGCAGGAGGAUUGCAAGUUUCAACCAGAUAAAACAUGUAAAAAGGGCUGAGAAUAUAGCUCAGUGUGGAGGCCCUGGGCACAAACCCCAGCACAUAAGCAGAUUUCUAAGCAGAUAACUACACGAAAGCAUGUAGCAGACAUGACACUGAGCAAAACGGCCAGGCAUGGAGGAGCACCUUCUCGUGUCUCCGUGCACACAGCCGGAGAACAGGCCUCCCAGCCCGGCGGUGCCUGGCCCUGUGUCCCUGAGAAGGGGCUUGUAGGGGCAGAGGCUGUUGUCAUCCGGACACUGGAGCAGCAGCCUCCUGCCGCCCUGAGCUGGCCCGAUGGCAGUGUGCCGUUGUGCUGCCGCUGUCUGGACAGUGUAGGAGUCCCGCA